This 156-nucleotide ribosomal RNA is filed under the name Medicago truncatula (barrel medic). RNAcentral describes it as "5.8S ribosomal RNA". It matches the Rfam family "5.8S ribosomal RNA". Rfam says of the family: 5.8S ribosomal RNA (5.8S rRNA) is a component of the large subunit of the eukaryotic ribosome. Lineage: Eukaryota; Viridiplantae; Streptophyta; Magnoliopsida; Fabales; Fabaceae. The record is from RNAcentral.
GACUCUCGGCAACUGAUAUCUACGCUCUUGCAUCGAUGAAGAACGUAGCCAAAUGCUAUACUUGGUGUGAAUUGCAGAAUCCCGUGAACCAUCGAGUCUUUGAACGCAAGUUGCGCCCGAUGCCUUUAUGUUGAGGGCACGUCUGCCUGGGUGUCA